AUUCAGCGGCGGACGGGUGAGUAAUGCCUAGGAAUCUGCCUGGUAGUGGGGGACAACGUUUCGAAAGGAACGCUAAUACCGCAUACGUCCUACGGGAGAAAGCAGGGGACCUUCGGGCCUUGCGCUAUCAGAUGAGCCUAGGUCGGAUUAGCUAGUUGGUGAGGUAAUGGCUCACCAAGGCGACGAUCCGUAACUGGUCUGAGAGGAUGAUCAGUCACACUGGAACUGAGACACGGUCCAGACUCCUACGGGAGGCAGCAGUGGGGAAUAUUGGACAAUGGGCGAAAGCCUGAUCCAGCCAUGCCGCGUGUGUGAAGAAGGUCUUCGGAUUGUAAAGCACUUUAAGUUGGGAGGAAGGGCAGUAAAUUAAUACUUUGCUGUUUUGACGUUACCGACAGAAUAAGCACCGGCUAACUCUGUGCCAGCAGCCGCGGUAAUACAGAGGGUGCAAGCGUUAAUCGGAAUUACUGGGCGUAAAGCGCGCGUA
This 487-nucleotide ribosomal RNA is filed under the name Pseudomonas sp. 1b-7 (2). RNAcentral describes it as "bacterial SSU rRNA". It matches the Rfam family "Bacterial small subunit ribosomal RNA", at positions 90 to 573 of the family's 1533-position model. Lineage: Bacteria; Pseudomonadati; Pseudomonadota; Gammaproteobacteria; Pseudomonadales; Pseudomonadaceae. The record is from RNAcentral.